RNAcentral lists this transfer RNA (73 nucleotides) under Bos taurus (domestic cattle). It matches the Rfam family "tRNA". Rfam says of the family: Transfer RNA (tRNA) molecules are approximately 80 nucleotides in length. Their secondary structure includes four short double-helical elements and three loops (D, anti-codon, and T loops). Lineage: Eukaryota; Metazoa; Chordata; Mammalia; Artiodactyla; Bovidae. RNAcentral also lists the same sequence under 5 other names. The record is from Rfam by way of RNAcentral.
UUUCCAGUGGUCCAGUGGUUAGGACUCUGUGCUUCCACUGCAGGGGGCCUGGGUUCAAUCCCAAGUUGAGGAA